UAACUAGGUAGACAGUGUCAGCUGGAGUCUGGGGAGGAUCCCCACGAGGGCAGAGGUAGUCCCUGCCCCUCAAGACACCAGGACCUGGAGGGGGGAGUCCCAGUGAGAGGGCAGGUAAGCCCACCCUGCAGACUGCUCCCCAAAGGCAGGCAUGGCUGGGAGAGAGAAAUGGGGGUCCCCCUCUUGAAGCAGGUCUGUCUGCAAGGGCACAGGGACCAGGGGCUGCUGGGCCCCUGUGUGCCAAGAGUAGGAACAGCAGAUGCCUGGGCAGGAGCUAAGCCUCGCGGGGUGGGGGGUGUUGGGGGUGGGCAUGGAGGAGGCCAGGCUCCGUCACAGUGAGGUUGGGCAGCCGGGGGUGGGGUGGGGACACAGCUGGUGGGUCCAGUGGAUCAAUAAAUUAGAGGCAACAGAGUGACUCUUGGGGUCUAGCUGGGGACACGGGAGAGUUUGGGCUGUGCAAAGGGCCAGUCUGUGCAUGAACGCUGGCAGUCUUGCUGUGUGUGGCACGUAGGGGAGUGCGUGGCAGGAGGAUCUGGGCGCAGACCCCUGUAGCUGGAGCUGAGCGGGGGUCGGAGGGCAGGGCAGGGGUGGCAGCUGGGGAGCCCCAGGAGUGGAGAGGAGUGGACAUCAUGAGUGACCAGCGUGGCAGAGAGGAUCGGCCAACAAGGACCAAGAAAAGGCCAUUCUGCUGCCUCCAGUAAUUUCCAAAUGAGCAGGUGGGUCAACCCCGUCAUUUCCAGCUAAUCUCUCCUCGUAUAGGAUUUAGGCUCUCCCGACAGUCUCCAUGGAAUCCUCUGGACAGCUCUAGGAGAUGCGUACCCAUUCCACAGGUCAGGAAGCUGAAGCACGGAGCUGUCAGGCAACAUGCCUGAGCCUCAAGUGGAACAGCUUGCUGGAGCCCAGCGGGGCUCAGAGACCGGGUUCUUUCUCGGGGCCGCCUACCUUGUGAAUGUCCCUGAUCUUGCGUCGUAGCUCUGUCUGCUGGUGGUGGAAGUCCGUCCGGCAGCUGCCCGUGCCUGACCUGGGUGUACGGGGCAGGGGGGCCGUGAGGGAGCGCGUCCAGCGCCACCUCUGCUGACUCGGCGGAGCCCUGACUGGCAGGGGACCAGCAAGGGGGAUGUGCCCGAGAUCGGAGGGCUCCGGAGCCAUCCCCUGCUGGUCAGAAAGAGUUGAAGGUCCAUGUAAAGAGUGCACCGACAAGGGGAGAACUAGAAACUGGCAGAGGCCGGGGGGUUGGGAGACGGAGGACCGCCACGCGCAGCCUGGGUGCGAUUCCGGAGCAGAAAACGGACGGUAGCCAAGAAAGGGGGGACACCUGUGCCAGCGUUGAUUUCUUAGUCGUGGUUUUGGGAGACGGGGACGGGAAGGGUCUGUGGGACCAGGCCUGGGGCCCGGGUUGUCGCGGAGGCUGACUGUAAGGGCCACGUGAGGCCUUUCUCGGGUGUUAGGAGGGUUCCGUCUCGGUCGUGGGGACAGAGACAUGGGCCCGAGCUAAACCCGUCCAGCCGGACAUUAAAAAUAAAUUCAUCUCCUUGUGUGUACGUCAGUGAAGCCGGUUCAGAAUAAAAAAGGAUACACAGGCAGGAACCCCCAGGCCAAGGGUGGUGGGAGACCUAGCCCACCGGGGUUUAAGUGUGGCAGCGGCUUUGCGCUCUGCAGGGGCGGGGGCCCAGGGCGGGGCCGGCGCGGAUGGGCUGUCGGCAGCGCGGCGUCGGCUGGGGAGCAAGCCCAGACGAGGUGGGAAUGCCAGCGAGACUCACACCCCAGCUGAGAGAGCAGCCAGGGGCCCCUGCUUCACGCCGUGUCCACAAAUUAAUUCCAGGUGGAUUCAGGAUUUCAAGAUGUGCAAACACGUGCAGAGGACUUGGGAACAUAUUUGUGUCAUUUCAAGCUGCGGUGGCCGUCGAGAGCAAUCCGGGAAACCCAGAAGCCGCGCAGACGGCAGACACGCCUCACAGCAUGAACCCCAACGACCCCGUGAGUGGGGAGAGACCCGGAGCAGAGGGAGAACAUGUGGGGCGGGGGCCCAAGGCGGGGCUUAGUCACGGUGACAUGCCCAAACUCCCCCGAGUUGCCAAGAAGUAAGAAAAUGGAAAUAGGAAAUUGAGGAAGUACUCCCCACAUGCACACGCACACACACCCACACACACACCCGCUCAAUAACCCAUAACAGAAAACAGGUAAGUACGAAGCUCCUGGAAGAAAAUAUAAGAGAAAAACCCCUGUGACCGUGGGCCAAGCUCUGAUUUCUUAGAUGCACCACCGCAAGAUGCACAGAGAACAGAGCCGGGCCUCACCGACGUGAGGGGCCUCGGAUGCAUUCUGGGGUGUGCGAAAAGCCGCACUCGAGAUAGUAGUUCACGCUGCACCGUCUGCGUCUGUGACAUCCUGGGAGAGUCGGGGACUGGGGCGCGGGACGCAGAGUGCAGGGGGCACGCGGGGACCCGCGGGCGAUGGAGAUACUGCAUGUCACGAAGGGGGUGGUUAUGUGGUUAUACAUUUUUGUCACAGCGCACGGGACCGUGCCACCGGGGACGAGCUUGGUUAAACGCCUCAAUCUGAAAAUAAAGCCUUGUGGGCUGAUGACACCCCAGGGUGCCCAGGCUGUCGGGACGUGGCUGUCGCGGAUCACCUCUUGGAAAAAUGAUCUGAGGGGCUCUGGUCAAGACUGUACACGCCUCCGCCCUGUAAUCCCACUUUGGGGAGUCUGACCUGCAGUAAACCCCAGCAAGAAAAGACGGGACGGCCAGCACGGGGAACCGGGACACUGGAUUCUCACCAACCCGGGAUGCUCCAAGAAGUUAGGACACAUACGCAGGACAUUGUGUAACUGUUAAAAACUGGGCUAAUGUCCGUAUUUUUUUGAAAAAUAAGUUGCCAAGCUAGACGUGCAGAUCCCAUUUUGCCGCACGUCAUGGGCACGGGGGUGGGGGGCACGCCCGUGUGCGCAAGCGCAAGCCCUUGGUGUGUGUGUGUGUGUGUGUGUGUGUGUGUGUGUGCGUGUGUGUGUCUGACCUGCGGCAGCCAACGCAUGUGGCUUCCAGGGUCUGAAAAGUCAGUUAAAUGGAGCAUUUUAAAAACUUAUCAGUAGCAUAUGCAUUUGAUCAGCAUUCCUGGGAAUGCCGCAGGCAGAGGGGUCCUGGUUGAAAGCGGCUUUGUGGGAGUGAUGCCCGCCUGCUUUUACUACCUUCCUUGCUUAUCCUAGGGCCCCGAUUUAAUCACCAGCUGUUUUUGAGGGAAUGAAAUCCAGCUCAGGAGGACGGUGGAGAGAACUCGAGGCUCCCACGGAAAAGAUGGGCGUGUUGUCUGAACACAUUACCAGGCGAGACCCCUUUCCCCCAGUGGGAUGUCUCUCCCCAGUGGGCCGUGAGGUUCAGGGGCCCACCCGCCCUCAGAAUCAUCAGAGUGCCCGGGCUGCGUGGGGCAAGGGUACAAGUGUGUCUCGCUUAACACCGCGCACAGGGCUGUGGGUCUUGCGGAGUCUGUGAUCCUCUCCAUGUGAGAAGAACCAAAGUGGACGGACCUUGGCUGGGAGGUCAGCAAGGGAGCAGCCCGGAGUGCUUGCCCUUUGCCCUUCGCUGGGGACGGUGUCCAUGCCACUGGCCAGGGUGGCCCGUGUGGUCCCGGGGGUCCACCUGGUUCCCAGGCCCCCAGAGGCCCACCUACCUUCAUCCUGUGGAUCUCCGCCUUCAUGGCUCGGAUCUCUGUCUGGCCGGUCUCGGAAUCCACCGAUGCCCGCAUCUCUUUUGCCAGCUGGAUUUUUUUCUCCCAAAGCAUGAUCUGGUGUCUUUAAAAGUGGGAGAGGCAGUGUGAGAGUGGGAGACAUUGAGGAGAUUUCUUUCUGAUGCUUCUGUGAGCUCAUGACCUAAGGGCUUGCUCCAAAUUGAGACCUGCAGUGGACGGCCGGAAGGCAGGGGUCAACAUAAACCCCCGGGGCCAAGGCGCUCUCUCAGAUUCCUGCCCACACAACCCAGAGCAAAGGGGGCUCUCCCUCCCUGGUCUGCGGUGCUGUCGUGGCGUCACGUGCAGACACAGCUACGCCACACCUGAAGCCACUGCACCUCUGUGUGCUAAGGAUACUUCGGUUAAAAGGAGAAGUUCACAUAGCAGCAAAGACGCACGCUCACCACCUGGCUUCGAUGUUUGUGCCCCUCUCCAUGACACCCAGCACGAUGGUGUUUGGAGGUGGCCUCCCUGGGAGGUGCUAUGUCACCAGGUGCAGCCUCAUGAAAGGGGUCAGCGCCCUUAGAGAAGAGACCCCACAGAGCACCCUCGGGGACACAGCCAGAAGCCCAGUAUCCAGAAGACGCCCUCACUCAUCCAACCCAACCCCCUGACCUUGGACUUCCAGCCUCCACAAUGCUGACCGACGACGUUUAUAAGCCCUGGCCAGAGCUGUUACCUCGGCCUGGACGGGCAGCGGGCUCAACCCAGCUGGAAGGAGUGCGCGUGUGGGCUUUGACCUGGCCUGGCGGGGCUGACUCAGCAGCCGGUCCCACGGGAAAUGUGGAUCCACAGAAAAUACAUAAAACUGCUUCAGAGGGCAGCACAGAGAACCCCUUUUUUUGUUUAAAAAGCAA
This is a long non-coding RNA of Mustela erminea (ermine), 4580 nucleotides long. RefSeq lists it as uncharacterized. The transcript has 4 exons. The record is from RefSeq and is a predicted model, not a curated record. Lineage: Eukaryota; Metazoa; Chordata; Mammalia; Carnivora; Mustelidae.